GCCGAUGUAGUUCAACGGUCAGAACAGAGGACUCAUAAGCCUCGGACGAAGGUUCGACUCCUUCCAUCGGCA
RNAcentral lists this transfer RNA (72 nucleotides) under Candidatus Spechtiibacteriota bacterium. RNAcentral's name for it is "tRNA-Met". It matches the Rfam family "tRNA". From Rfam's summary of the family: Transfer RNA (tRNA) molecules are approximately 80 nucleotides in length. Lineage: Bacteria; Candidatus Spechtiibacteriota. The record is from RNAcentral.